This 540-nucleotide ribosomal RNA is filed under the name Polygordius sp. CL0004. RNAcentral describes it as "partial 16S ribosomal RNA". It matches the Rfam family "Bacterial large subunit ribosomal RNA", at positions 1807 to 2620 of the family's 2925-position model. The record is from RNAcentral. Lineage: Eukaryota; Metazoa; Annelida; Polychaeta; Polygordiidae.
UCAAAAACAUUGCCCUUAGAAUUAAAAAUUAAGGGUACGUCCUGCCCAGUGACAUACGUGUUUAACGGCCGCGGUACCCUGACCGUGCAAAGGUAGCAUAAUCACUCGCCUUUUAAUUGGAGGCUAGCAUGAAUGGAUAAACGAGGGCUCAACUGUCUCCUUUGAUCCAAUAAAAAUUAACCCUUAGGUGAAGAUGCCUAAAUAAAAAUGAAAGACAAGAAGACCCUAUUGAGCUUUACCUCUCCCACGUCUUAUAGAAAAUAAACUAAUACCUAUCUCCCGUGCCCAGGUUCUGUUGGGGCGACAAAGGAAUAAACUAAUCUUCCUCUAAUUAUUAAACCCCCAGUUUUAUAAAUGACCCUUCCUAGAUCAAAGAACUAAGCUACCAUAGGGAUAACAGGCUAAUUCUUCUCGAGAGUCCACAUUAACAGAAGAGUUUGGCACCUCGAUGUUGGCUUGGGGGCCCCUAUAUGGUGCAGCAGCCCAAUAGGUGGGUUUGUUCAACCCUUAAAACCCCACGUGAUCUGAGUCCAGACCGGA